Molecule: long non-coding RNA, 477 nt
Filed under: Oryza sativa Indica Group (long-grained rice)
Lineage: Eukaryota; Viridiplantae; Streptophyta; Magnoliopsida; Poales; Poaceae
Description: lncRNA OsGoSa_01g0036670
Source: RNAcentral
GUGGGGGCCCCUGGAAAUUGGGGGCCCCCUGCGAUCGCCCAGCUCGCUCUCCGCGAUCGACGGGCCUGUAUCUCCUCUCCACCGCUGAGCCAUCUCCACGGCCGGCGACGCCCUCCCUUUCCGCCGCUCCCCCUCCCCCCACCGGCGGCACCCCUCCCUCUCCGCCCCCUUCAUCCUCAGCCACGGCCCACGGCGGCAAGCAGCGCCCUCGCUCGGUGGCGGCGCCCUCUCUCUGCAGGCGGCGCCCUCCCCCCAGCCGGCGGCGCCCUCUCCUCGGCGGCAUCAUUGUCUUCUCUGGCACAGUGGAGGCAACCCCUUCCCUGCCUCGGCGACAACAUCCUCCUUGCGGCGUACGGUGGGGCGCUCGCCAAGCCGCCACGACCUCGGGGCAGCGGCGUGCUUGCCUCUGAUGUGAGCAGUGGCGCCGGUUUUUUAGUUUUCUGUGAUGAUUUUGAUUCAUUGUUGUUGAAUUUGUGA